GACGAACGCUGGCGGCGUGCUUAACACAUGCAAGUCGAACGGAAAGGCCCUGCUUUUGUGGGGUGCUCGAGUGGCGAACGGGUGAGUAACACGUGAGUAACCUGCCCUUGACUUUGGGAUAACUUCGGGAAACUGGGGCUAAUACCGGAUAGGAGCUCCUGCUGCAUGGUGGGGGUUGGAAAGUUUCGGCGGUUGGGGAUGGACUCGCGGCUUAUCAGCUUGUUGGUGGGGUAGUGGCUUACCAAGGCUUUGACGGGUAGCCGGCCUGAGAGGGUGACCGGCCACAUUGGGACUGAGAUACGGCCCAGACUCCUACGGGAGGCAGCAGUGGGGAAUAUUGCACAAUGGGCGGAAGCCUGAUGCAGCAACGCCGCGUGCGGGAUGACGGCCUUCGGGUUGUAAACCGCUUUCGCCUGUGACGAAGCGUAAGUGACGGUAAUGGGUAAAGAAGCACCGGCUAACUACGUG
RNAcentral lists this ribosomal RNA (468 nucleotides) under uncultured bacterium. RNAcentral's name for it is "partial 16S ribosomal RNA". It matches the Rfam family "Bacterial small subunit ribosomal RNA", at positions 28 to 507 of the family's 1533-position model. The record is from RNAcentral.